Molecule: ribosomal RNA, 253 nt
Filed under: uncultured Synechococcus sp.
Lineage: Bacteria; Bacillati; Cyanobacteriota; Cyanophyceae; Synechococcales; Synechococcaceae
Description: partial 16S ribosomal RNA
Rfam family: Bacterial small subunit ribosomal RNA
Source: RNAcentral
UACGGGAGUGGCAAGCGUUAUCCGGAAUUAUUGGGCGUAAAGCGUCCGCAGGCGGUCCUACAAGUCUGCCGUUAAAAAGUGGAGCUCAACUCCAUCACGGCGGUGGAAACUGUAGGACUGGAGUGUGGUAGGGGCAGAGGGAAUUCCCGGUGUAGCGGUGAAAUGCGUAGAUAUCGGGAAGAACACCAGUGGCGAAAGCGCUCUGCUGGGCCAUAACUGACGCUCAUGGACGAAAGCCAGGGGAGCGAAAGGG